UUGACCUCAAAUCAGGUAGGACUACCCGCUGAACUUAAGCAUAUCAAUAAGCGGAGGAAAAGAAACUAACAAGGAUUCCCUUAGUAACUGCGAGUGAAGAGGGAAGAGCUCAAAUUUAAAAUCUGGCAGUGUUUUGCUGUCCGAGUUGUAAUCUAGAGAAGUGCUGCCCGUGCUGGACCGUGUACAAGUCUCCUGGAAUGGAGCGUCACAGAGGGUGAGAAUCCCGUCUUUGACAUGGACUGCCAGUGCAUUUGUGGUGUGCUCUCAAAGAGUCGAGUUGUUUGGGAAUGCAGCUCUAAAUGGGUGGUAAACUCCAUCUAAAGCUAAAUAUUGGCGAGAGACCGAUAGCGAACAAGUACCGUGAGGGAAAGAUGAAAAGAACUUUGGAAAGAGAGUUAAACAGUAUGUGAAAUUGUUGAAAGGGAAACGCUUAAAGUCAGUCGUGUCGGCCAGGGAUCAACUCAGUUUUCUUUGCUGGGUGUACUUCCUGAUCUGAUGGGCCAACAUCAGUUUUGACUGCUGGAGAAGGAUAGAGGGAAUGUGGCACCUUCGGGUGUGUUAUAGCUCUCUGUCGGAUGCAGUGGUUGGGACUGAGGAAAGCAGCAUG
RNAcentral lists this ribosomal RNA (607 nucleotides) under Amanita pantherina. RNAcentral's name for it is "eukaryotic LSU rRNA". It matches the Rfam family "Eukaryotic large subunit ribosomal RNA", at positions 1 to 602 of the family's 3401-position model. Lineage: Eukaryota; Fungi; Basidiomycota; Agaricomycetes; Agaricales; Amanitaceae. The record is from RNAcentral.